This 71-nucleotide transfer RNA is filed under the name Loxodonta africana (African savanna elephant). It matches the Rfam family "tRNA". From Rfam's summary of the family: Transfer RNA (tRNA) molecules are approximately 80 nucleotides in length. Lineage: Eukaryota; Metazoa; Chordata; Mammalia; Proboscidea; Elephantidae. The record is from Rfam by way of RNAcentral.
GCCUUGGUGGUUCAAUGGUAGAAUUCUUACCUUCCAUGUGGGAGACCCAGGUUUGAUUCCCAGUCAAUGCC